Molecule: ribosomal RNA, 488 nt
Filed under: uncultured bacterium
Lineage: Bacteria
Description: partial 16S ribosomal RNA
Rfam family: Bacterial small subunit ribosomal RNA
Source: RNAcentral
UGGGGAAUAUUGCACAAUGGGCGAAAGCCUGAUGCAGCGACGCCGCGUGAGGGAUGACGGCCUUCGGGUUGUAAACCUCUUUCAGCAGGGAAGAAGCGAAAGUGACGGUACCUGCAGAAGAAGCGCCGGCUAACUACGUGCCAGCAGCCGCGGUAAUACGUAGGGCGCAAGCGUUGUCCGGAAUUAUUGGGCGUAAAGAGCUCGUAGGCGGUUAGUCGCGUCUGCUGUGAAAAUCUCGAGGCUCAACCUCGGGCUUGCAGUGGGUACGGGCUGACUAGAGUGCGGUAGGGGUGACUGGAAUUCCUGGUGUAGCGGUGGAAUGCGCAGAUAUCAGGAGGAACACCGAUGGCGAAGGCAGGUCACUGGGCCGCAACUGACGCUGAGGAGCGAAAGCAUGGGGAGCGAACAGGAUUAGAUACCCUGGUAGUCCAUGCCGUAAACGUUGGGCACUAGGUGUGGGGUCCAUUCCACGGAUUCCGUGCCGCAGC